This 402-nucleotide ribosomal RNA is filed under the name Salmonella enterica subsp. enterica serovar Enteritidis. RNAcentral's name for it is "partial 23S ribosomal RNA". It matches the Rfam family "Bacterial large subunit ribosomal RNA", at positions 901 to 1299 of the family's 2925-position model. Lineage: Bacteria; Pseudomonadati; Pseudomonadota; Gammaproteobacteria; Enterobacterales; Enterobacteriaceae. The record is from RNAcentral.
GGUAGAGCACUGUUUCGGCUAGGGGGCCAUCCCGGCUUACCAACCCGAUGCAAACUGCGAAUACCGGAGAAUGUUAUCACGGGAGACACACGGCGGGUGCUAACGUCCGUCGUGAAGAGGGAAACAACCCAGACCGCCAGCUAAGGUCCCAAAGUCAUGGUUAAGUGGGAAACGAUGUGGGAAGGCCCAGACAGCCAGGAUGUUGGCUUAGAAGCAGCCAUCAUUUAAAGAAAGCGUAAUAGCUCACUGGUCGAGUCGGCCUGCGCGGAAGAUGUAACGGGGCUAAACCAUGCACCGAAGCUGCGGCAGCGACACUGUGUGUUGUUGGGUAGGGGAGCGUUCUGUAAGCCUGUGAAGGUGUGUCGUGAGGCAUGCUGGAGGUAUCAGAAGUGCGAAUGCUGA